UUCCUACGGGUGGCAGCAGUGGGGAAUAUUGCACAAUGGGCGCAAGCCUGAUGCAGCGACGCCGCGUGAGGGAUGACGGCCUUCGGGUUGUAAACCUCUUUCAGUACCGACGAAGCGUCAGUGACGGUAGGUACAGAAGAAGCACCGGCCAACUACGUGCCAGCCGCCGCGGUAAUACGUAGGGUGCGAGCGUUGUCCGGAAUUACUGGGCGUAAAGAGCUCGUAGGUGGUUUGUCGCGUUGUUCGUGAAAACUCACAGCUUAACUGUGGGCGGGCGGGCGAUACGGGCAGACUUGAGUACUGCAGGGGAGACUGGAAUUCCUGGUGUAGCGGUGGAAUGCGCAGAUAUCAGGAGGAACACCGGUGGCGAAGGCGGGUCUCUGGGCAGUAACUGACGCUGAGGAGCGAAAGCGUGGGGAGCGAACAGGAUUAGAUACCCCAGUAGUCAC
Molecule: ribosomal RNA, 449 nt
Filed under: uncultured Mycobacterium sp.
Lineage: Bacteria; Bacillati; Actinomycetota; Actinomycetes; Mycobacteriales; Mycobacteriaceae
Description: bacterial SSU rRNA
Rfam family: Bacterial small subunit ribosomal RNA
Source: RNAcentral